AUACUAUCAUUUUCAUCAACUGCUAUAUAAUUUUAUUUUUUCUAUAGAAUCAACCCGCCGCAACGCGCGGGUACCUUCAUUAGUAUCUAUAAUAUCUAUAUUUAGUCAGAGCAAUAAUAAGGCAACAAAACCGACUGUUCCUAGACCAAGUGGUAAAGGAUUUAAUGGUUGGUAUCCGAGACCCAAAUUUGAAUCCUAGUUGAUUUACAUUUUCAGCAAGUUUAUUUCUAAAUGAAAUAAACGAAGCGGAUAGCGUGCUACCUAUCUCUGAAAAAAAAAUAAUAAUAAGGCAACAAAUUGGAAAGACUUAAUUUUGAGGGG
RNAcentral lists this long non-coding RNA (321 nucleotides) under Ananas comosus (pineapple). RNAcentral's name for it is "long non-coding RNA (ACOM_LNC011230)". The record is from RNAcentral. Lineage: Eukaryota; Viridiplantae; Streptophyta; Magnoliopsida; Poales; Bromeliaceae.